RNAcentral lists this ribosomal RNA (451 nucleotides) under uncultured bacterium. RNAcentral describes it as "partial 16S ribosomal RNA". It matches the Rfam family "Bacterial small subunit ribosomal RNA", at positions 30 to 507 of the family's 1533-position model. The record is from RNAcentral.
AGCGAACGCUGGCGGCAUGCCUAACACAUGCAAGUCGCACGGGGGGGCUUCGGCCUCCCAGUGGCGGACGGGUGAGGAACGCGUAGGGACCUGUCGAGGGGUGGGGGAUAACCGCGGGAAACUGCGGCUAAUACCGCAUGACGCCGCGGCGUGACAGCCGGGGCCAAAGGCGAAAGCCGCCCGCCGAGGGGCCUGCGUCCGAUUAGCUGGUUGGCGGGGUAGCGGCCCACCAAGGCGUCGAUCGGUAGCUGGUCUGAGAGGGGGAUCAGCCACACCGGGACUGAGACACGGCCCGGACUCCUACGGGGGGCAGCAGUGGGGAAUAUUGGACAAUGGGCGCAAGCCUGAUACAGCAAUGCCGCGUGGGUGAAGAAGGGGUUCGGAUUGUAAAGCCCUUUCGGCGGGGACGAUGGUGACGGUACCCGCAGAAGAAGCCCCGGCUAACUUCGUG